This 2638-nucleotide long non-coding RNA is filed under the name Capsicum annuum. RNAcentral's name for it is "long non-coding RNA (CANN_LNC002837)". Lineage: Eukaryota; Viridiplantae; Streptophyta; Magnoliopsida; Solanales; Solanaceae. The record is from RNAcentral.
AAGAAAUUGAAAUUAAAAAACUACAAACAAGAAAGAUGAGCAAAUUGAAAUUAAAGAAUAACUGAAAAACCAGAACUCAACAUAUAAGCACCGAUUCAUCAUUAUUAAAUUCUCAUAACUUGGUUGGAAUGGAGGAAAAUACACAGGUACAAGAGGAAAAAGAAACAAAGGAAAAAACAGUAGUUUCUGAAAGGGGUAAAAAAAGACUAGGUACAAAUCAAACAAACAUCUCCAUAGGAGGAGUAAUUAUAUGUUGGCUGGCCAUAAGGGUGAAAUUCAGUAGCCUUCUGGCUUGUAGGCGAUGAAACUGAUGCACUGCACUUGACGAACGUUAUCGAAUCCGAUAAUACGGAUCCAGGCCUGUGGGUAAGCCUUCUUGGCCUCUUGGACCUCAUUCAACACCUGGGUAGCGUCAGUGCACCCAAACAUGGGCAACUUCCACAUUGUCCAGUACCUUCCAUCGUAGUAUCCUGGUGACCUGUGGUGCUCACGGUACACGAAUCCGUGCUGCAUCCAUAACAUAUUCAUAAUAAUUAGUUACUAUUAUGCUUAAUUAAUACUUGUAAAUUUUAUAAAUCAGAGACAAAUAUUGACCUCAGUCUCGAAUUCCAAGCAAGGAACCCAUCCCUUUUGCAAAAGGUACUCAAUUUCCUUGAGCAAUUGCUCGUCAGACAAAUCAGGAAGGUAUGAGAGAGUCUCGUACUUCUUCUUGUUAAUUGGUGGCCACACCUACACUCCACACAUAAAACAAUUCAAAGUAAUUAGUACUAGCACGAAUUAGAAACGUAGUUAACUAUAUUGAUAAUGUAAAAAUUCUUUUAACCAGCAUGCAUUGGACACGUCCACCGUUGCUAGCAAUGGAAGUAAUGUCAAGGUUGUUCUUCCUAGUAACUGGGAAAGAUGCAGCAGAUUUUAGGCCAGUGAAGGGUGCAACCAUGCUAGCCUGAGUGACAUUGGUGCGGGUAGCAACGGCUGCCGAAGAGAUCACUGAGGAAGCCAUUGCGUUACUACUUAGUUUUAUUUUUCCUUGAGACAAUUGUUUUUUUGAAGAUGCUCAUUGCACUGUGGCUCCCGUCCUUUAUAUAAUGAAAAGAUUAGACAUAUUCUCUAUCUAACGGAUUGAAACAAGCAAACCUCAUCUUAGAUGAAUGGUGACCAUUGGAUUAUGUGGCUGUUGAUAUUACAAAGUUUAAUGGCCACAUGAAAGAUAAGAAAUUGGAGCUAAGUGUCUUUUUCAUUUCUUCUUUUUAAAUUCAUUAAGAAGCCAGAAUGGAGGUGCCACGAGUCAGAAGCUGGUGAAUCUUAUCUCAUCCAGAAUGGUUAAUUUUUCUAUGUUUUCAGAGAGUGCAGUUUAGCCUCAUCUUAUUAUUACAGUAGUGGAUGUAGUUGCAGUCUUUUUUGAUUGGACUUGGAGAGACCAUUCCGUAUUGCAGAAGGUCCAGACGUAUUUUUCUGGACGCAUCAUUUUCGUAUUUUUGGCCACUCCCAAGUUUUAUUUAUUUUCAACUUAGCUUAUAAAUGGUGACAAUAUAGACACCUCAUAUUCCAAAAAAGAAAAUUUAAAUUAGCCUUGAAUCUCAUUGCUAAAUUGCUGGUGACUAACAGGAUUAUUUGACAGUCCGCCAAAUAUUAUGUUAGCAAUGGAUUAAUUUUGCUGUUUAGUUACAAAAUUUUUUUGUUGCUUGUUUCUAAUUUUUAGUACGUAAUUUUAGGUCGCAAGUUCUUACUUUUAGUAAAUGGUUACUCCAUCCAUUUUUAAAUAAGUGCAUGUUUUGAAAUUAACAUGCCAUUAAUAAAUUGCUAACUCCUAGAAAAUAAAAUGUAAUUUUAUCAAUUUAUGCUAUAUACUACCAAAAGGGCAGCCUUUAGCCACGAUUUUGUAGCCACGACUGCAGAAAGUCGUCCCUAACAUUAUAAGACAAUUUGAGGUUUCCAACGCAUCACAAAGCGAUGCUAAAAUAUUGUGGCAAAAAAUAGGCGGGGUACUAAAAUUUCACUCCCUUUUUUCAUCCGCCCCCACUUUUUUUUUUUUUUUUGAAAUUAAUUUUUCUUUCCACCCAAAAUUUAAUUUAGUAGUAUAGGAAAUUAUUUUCAUUUUUUUGGCACUCAAAUAUCUGUUUAAUCCUAAAUUGCUACUCACCCAAAUCACUGCCUCCUCUCUAUCAUCGAAAUUCAACUUCUGCUAAUUGUUGCCACUCCUUUCUAUCAUUGUAAUCUUCUUGUGUUCUUAUUUUGCCACAAGUUUUAGGGCCAUUGAAGUACCUUUCUUAUUUUGGGUUGUAUUCUUCUUAUUUUGGAUUGCUGUAUCGAAUUUUUGUUGUUUUAUUGCUCACUCUUGCAUUGUUGUUCUUAUUUUGGUUUAUUGUGUAGAGUUAUAUUGAAUUUUCCUUUAUUUUGAAGGAAAUUGCUAAACCUAGUUUAUCGAAACUUGAUGAGAAAAGAAAUUGACUCAAUCUAAACGAGGUACUCUAAUCGACUCAAAAAUUAUAUGUAAAGAGCUAAUUAAGUGCUACUGAGGGUUGAGGGUUUAGCAGGUCUUAACUACACUAACUUUUUACUAUUUUGUUGUUUUCUUUACAGGUAAUUUCCAUACAAUUUGAAGGCUAUUGAAAUUAUGGCAUCUUCAAACUCUUUAUUA